UCCGCGUUACCGCGGCAGUCCUAUUAGAAAAAUCCAACUAAUAAUGAGGGUUGCGCUCGUUAAUGGACUUAACCAAACAUCUCACGACACGAGCUGACGACGGCCAUGCAUCACCUGUCACUGGGUUCCAAAAGGCACUCUCUGGUUUCCCAGAAAUUCCCAGGAUGUCAAGCCUUGGUAAGGUUCUACGCGUAUCCUCGAAUUAAACCACACGCUCCACCGCUUGUGCGGGUCCCCGUCAAUUCCUUUAAGUUUUAGCCUUGCGGCCGUACUCCCCAGGCGGGAUGCUUAACGCGUUAGCUUCGCUACCGAACGGGUCGAUACGUCCGACAGCUAGCAUCCAUCGUUUACGGCGUGGACUAC
This 363-nucleotide unclassified non-coding RNA is filed under the name uncultured bacterium. RNAcentral's name for it is "contains 16S-23S intergenic spacer region". The record is from RNAcentral.